UGGGGAAUAUUGGACAAUGGGGGAAACCCUGAUCCAGCAAUGCCGCGUGUGUGAAGAAGGCCUUCGGGUUGUAAAGCUCUUUCGUUGGGGAAGAAAGGCUUAAGGUUAAUAGCCUUAAGAUAUGACGUUACCCAAAGAAGAAGCACUGGCUAACUCUGUGCCAGCAGCCGCGGUAAUACAGAGAGUGCAAGCGUUAAUCGGAAUUACUGGGCGUAAAGCGCACGUAGGUGGAUACUUAAGUCGGAUGUGAAAGCCCUGGGCUUAACCUAGGAAUUGCAUCCGAUACUGGGUAUCUCGAGUAUGGUAGAGGGAAGUGGAAUUUCCGGUGUAGCGGUGAAAUGCGUAGAUAUCGGAAAGAACACCAGUGGCGAAGGCGGCUUCCUGGACCAAUACUGACACUUAGGUGCGAAAGCGUGGGGAGCAAACA
This 427-nucleotide ribosomal RNA is filed under the name uncultured bacterium. Its description in RNAcentral is "bacterial SSU rRNA". It matches the Rfam family "Bacterial small subunit ribosomal RNA", at positions 355 to 774 of the family's 1533-position model. The record is from RNAcentral.